GCCGGUGUUGCUCAGUGGAUAGAGCAUCAGCCUGCGGACUGAAGGGUCCCGGGUUCGAUUCCGGUCAAGGGCA
This 73-nucleotide transfer RNA is filed under the name Myotis brandtii (Brandt's bat). It matches the Rfam family "tRNA". From Rfam's summary of the family: Transfer RNA (tRNA) molecules are approximately 80 nucleotides in length. The record is from Rfam by way of RNAcentral. Lineage: Eukaryota; Metazoa; Chordata; Mammalia; Chiroptera; Vespertilionidae.